UAGGGAAUCUUCGGCAAUGGACGAAAGUCUGACCGAGCAACGCCGCGUGAGUGAAGAAGGUUUUCGGAUCGUAAAACUCUGUUGUUAGAGAAGAACAAGGACGUUAGUAACUGAACGUCCCCUGACGGUAUCUAACCAGAAAGCCACGGCUAACUACGUGCCAGCAGCCGCGGUAAUACGUAGGUGGCAGCUGUGGUCCGGAUUUAUUGGGCGUAAAGCGGUGGCAGGCGGUUCAUUAAGUCUAAUGUGAAAGCCCCCGGCUCAACCGGGGAGGAUCAUUGGAAACUGGGAGACUUGAGUGCAGAAGAGGAGAGUGGAAUUCCAUGUGUGGCGGUGAAAUGCGUAGAUAUGUGGAGGAACACCAGUGGCGAAGGCGGCUCUCUGGUCUGUAACUGACGCUGAGGCUCGAAAGCGUGGGGAGCAAACAGG
Molecule: ribosomal RNA, 429 nt
Filed under: Chloroflexota bacterium
Lineage: Bacteria; Bacillati; Chloroflexota
Description: Chloroflexi bacterium partial 16S ribosomal RNA
Rfam family: Bacterial small subunit ribosomal RNA
Source: RNAcentral